AUAGCUUUUUUUAUUAUAUAUACUGACAUGUUAAUAAUAUAAUAUUAACUAUACAGGCUAAAUUGAUCUGUUAAGGGGUAGGACCAGAUACGUUUUUUACUUCCUCCUUCCCCCUUUCAAGCAUGUGGCAAGUGUCUGUUUUUUGCUUUUGUUUUAUUUAUUCAUUUUCUAUUUUAACUUUUUUUAUUGCUUACAUGUUCUAAAUAAAGAAAUCAAAUCUAUUCUCUACAGGCAAAAUGGCGAGAAGGAGGGCAACCCCUCAGCAUAUUGCAGAACAACAUGCCAUCAGUGCCACAGACCAGACUGCCAUGUUAGAGGUGAAAUACAUAAACUCCACCAAAGGCAAGGGUGUGUUUGCUCUGUCCCCUUUUGAAAAGGGGGAUUUUGUAGUUGAAUACAGAGGAGAAAUUAUUGACUUUAAGGAAUCAGAGAGAAGGAGGAGGAUUUAUCAUUCCAAAUGCUUGGUGUUCGUGUUUGACUUCAUGUGGCAUGGCAAAAAAUGGUGCAUUGAUGCUGCGUUGGAAGAUGACUCAUUUGGAAGACUGGUCAAUGAUGAUCAUGUCCAUCCUACCAGCAGGAUGAAAAGAAUUUUAGUUGGUGGAAAACCACACCUCUGUCUGUUUGCUGCGAGAGACAUAAACAGAGGAGAGGAAAUAACAUAUGACUAUGGAGAUAGCAGUUGGCCAUGGAGAGAAAAGGGUGGUGGUGGCGAUUCUCAUGACAUAUCCGUGGACAAUGGUAUCUUGCCAUGCAGCUCCAACCCAGUGAUGCAAGAAGAGGUUUCACCCUCCAGCUUGCAGGUAAAGGAUUGUGGAUGGAUGGAUUGUGUUUUAGAUACUUGUCAAUGUGUUUGUGAUAAGGAGCCAUGCAAACAUACACACUUACUAGGUGUAAUGAGGUUCAAGUCCAUGUCAUAGAGUUUUGCCAGUUGUGAGGAUUUUCAUUUGUGAGGAUUCGUGUGCUCAGAUACGGUUCUUGCUUAUACACACUGGCUUUAAAUGGCAUGCUAGAUACUAGAAUACGCACUGACCCAGGAUCAGGAUUUUACUGAGAACCAAUCAGCACAGCCUGUUGUUGAGAGAGGAGGGAGUUACAAAAAUAUCAGACCAACCUGGCGGACAUCUUGAUGAUGGAAACAGAAUAUCAUAUGCUUGUUUUAAAAGCUCCUGAAUAGAAAAAUGGAAUAGCUGUACAAAUGUCCCACAAACUUAGUUGGGACAUAAAUAUUGCUGCAGUUGUUAGUUUAAACCACUUGAAUAUUCUUAGCUAACUGGUCAGACCAAUGGGUUGCAUUUUGUCAUUUGAUAUUGUAGGGAGGCUUGCAUGGCAGAUGAAGGCUACAUGAAGUGGCAUAAUGCAAUGAAUAAAACACACUGUCUCAGGUGCAGCCUUGUGGGGUAUCCGUACCCAGCUGCCACUCAAAGCUGCCUCCCUUCUUCUGUCCUCUCACC
Long non-coding RNA from Gadus macrocephalus (Pacific cod), 1451 nucleotides. RefSeq lists it as uncharacterized. The record is from RefSeq and is a predicted model, not a curated record. The transcript is spliced from 4 exons. Lineage: Eukaryota; Metazoa; Chordata; Actinopteri; Gadiformes; Gadidae.